RNAcentral lists this ribosomal RNA (465 nucleotides) under uncultured bacterium. RNAcentral describes it as "partial 16S ribosomal RNA". It matches the Rfam family "Bacterial small subunit ribosomal RNA", at positions 338 to 795 of the family's 1533-position model. The record is from RNAcentral.
CCUACGGGAGGCUGCAGUAGGGAAUUUUCCACAAUGGGCGCAAGCCUGAUGGAGCAACACCGCGUGAGUGAAGAAGGGUUUCGGCUCGUAAAGCUCUGUUGUUGGAGAAGAACGUGCGUGAGCGUAACUGUUCACGCAGUGACGGUAUCCAACCAGAAAGUUACGGCUGACUACGUGCCAGCAGACGCGGUAAUACGUAGGUGGGAAGCGUUCUCCGGAUUUAUUGGGCGUAAAGCGGGCGCAUGCGGUUGCUUAGGUUUGAUGUGAAAGCCUGCGGUUUAACCGAAGAAGUGCGUCGGAAACCGGGCGACUUGAGUGCAGAAGAGGACAGUGGAACUCCAUGUGUAGCGGUGGAAUGCGUAGAUAUAUGGAAGAACCCCAGUGGCGAAGGCGGCUGUCUGGUCUGCAACUGACGCUGAGGCUCGAAAGCAUGGGUAGCGAACAGGAUUAGAUACCCCUGUAGUC